RNAcentral lists this ribosomal RNA (253 nucleotides) under uncultured bacterium. Its description in RNAcentral is "partial 16S ribosomal RNA". It matches the Rfam family "Bacterial small subunit ribosomal RNA", at positions 524 to 776 of the family's 1533-position model. The record is from RNAcentral.
UACGGAGGGGGCUAGCGUUGUUCGGAAUUACUGGGCGUAAAGCGCGCGUAGGCGGACCUGCAAGUCGGGGGUGAAAGCCCGGGGCUCAACCUCGGAAUUGCCUUCGAUACUGGCUGUCUUGAGUGCGGGAGAGGUGUGUGGAACUCCGAGUGUAGAGGUGAAAUUCGUAGAUAUUCGGAAGAACACCAGUGGCGAAGGCGACACACUGGCCCGUUACUGACGCUGAGGCGCGAAAGCGUGGGGAGCAAACAGG